GCUGUAUCUUUAUGCAUGUGUAUACAUUUUUUUAAUGCUUCCUAUUUAAUCAAAUAACAUUUACAGAUGUCAUUUUUCAGGAAUCCAGCCUCAGAGAUUUGAACAUUGUUAUUAGUGAUAUUUCAACAUUAAAAUCCAUAAUCAAUCAGAUGGAUGUACAUACAAAUAGAGCUUUGCUAGAGAAGCAUUGAAUAGAAGUGAUUUGGCAUGUUCCACAAGGUGACUGUUGCUAGUAAUCUCCAUUCAAAAACCUUAGGAUUGUCCCUGAUUUUAAAGUAGCAGCAAAGUGUACAGUAGCAGGAGAAAGCUGCUUUACAGUGCAGGUCAUGACAUCAAAAUCAAAUCAAAUCAAAUUUAUUUUUAUAUAGCCCUUCGUACAUCAGCUGAUAUUCUCAAAGUGCUGUACAGAAACCCUGCCUAAAACCCCAAACAGCAAGCAAAGCAUGUGAAAGAAGCACGGUGGCUAGGAAAAACUCCCUAGGAAAAACUCCCUAGAAAGGCCAAAAACCUAGGAAGAAACCUAGAGAGGAACCAGGCUAUGAGGGGUGGCCAGUCCUCUUCUGGCUGUGCAGGGUGGAUAUUAUAACAGAACAUGGUCAAUAUGUUAAAAUGUUCAUAAAUGACCAGCAUGGUCAAAUAAUAAUAAUCAUAGUAGUUGUCGAGGGUGCAACAAGCACGUCCGGUGAACAGGUCAGGGUUCCAUAGCCGCAGGCAGAACAGUUGAAACUGGAGCAGCAGCACGGCCAGGUGGACUGGGGACAGCAAGGAGUCAUCAUACCAGGUAGUCCUGAGGCAUGGUCCUAGGGCUCAGGUCCUCCGAGAGAAAGACAGAUAGAGAGAAAGAGAGAAUUAGAGAGAGCAUAUUUAAAUACACACAGGACACCGGAUAAGACAAGAGAAAUACUCCAGAUGUAACAGACUGACCCUAGCCCCCCGACACAUAAACUACUGCAGCAUAAAUACUGGAGGCUGAGACAGGAGGGAUCAGAAGACACUGUGGCCCCAUCCGAUGAUACCACCGGACAGGGCCAAACAGGCAGGAUAUAACCCCACCCACUUUGCCAAAGCACAGCCCCCACACCACUAGAGGGAUGUCUCCAACCACCAACUUACCGUCCUAAGACAAGGCCGAGUAUAGCCCACAACGAUCUCCGCCAUGGCACAACCCAAGGGGGGGGCGCCAACCCAGACAGGAAGACCACGUCAGUGACUCAACCCACUCAAGUGACACACCCCUCCCAUGGACGGCAUGGAAGAACACCAGUAGGCCAGUGACUCAGCCCCUGUAAAAGGGUUAGAGGCAGAGAAUCCCAGUGGAAAGAGGGGAACCGGCAAGGCAGAGACAGCAAGGGCGGUUCGUUGCUCCAGCCUUUCCGUUCACCUUCACACUCCUGGGCCAGACUAUACUUAAUCAUAGGACCUACUGAAGAGAUAAGUCUUCAGUAAAGACUUAAAGGUUGAGACUGAGUCUGCGUCUCUCACAUUGGUAGGCAGACCAUUCCAUAAAAAUGGAGCAGGACAGUCUGUAUUGGAGCACUGUCAUAGUGUUUUUAUGUGCAGUUGACGCUUAAAGAGAUCAUUAUCUAUUUAGUGAUGCUGUGGGAAGGGACUUUUCAUCUUCUUCCACCUGUCUUCACUAGAACAUAAGAGGUUGAGAAUCAGAGAUGUAACAGAGAGGAGAUGUUGGAGAUGUCAUAGAUUACCAAACAAACAGGGAUUUCACAGAGAGGAUUGGUAAUAGAGAAGAACAAAAAAAAAACGAUGCUGAUGAUGUCAGAGACAGACAUAUACGGGAAAUGUCUAAAUACAUCUUAGUGAUGUCAUACAUAGGAGCUAAGUUAGCGAUGAUGUCACAGAGCGACACAAUCAGUGACCUUACAAAAGGCAUGGAAUAUUUAUGAUAUCAUAGAGACAAGCAGAAGUGAUGAUGUCAUAGACACUAUUAAACAGAUAAUGACUCCUAACUAAAUGUAUAGUGUAUCUUGUACACCCACCAUUAGACAUUGCGUAGAGUCUGGGCUGCCCUGGGUAUGGGGAGAGGGGACAGUGUCAUCCAGGGCCACAUUUGCAUUGGAGUCACAAUGGUUAUCACUGAGGAGACAGUGGGAAGAGUUACAAUGGACAACAGAGAUAAAUAACUCCAUCACUGUCUAACAGAACAAACUGUUGGUUCCAUCAAGGGGUGAGCCUUGAAAGGUAUAAGGGUGCUAAGGUGGAUAAGAAGUGGGUGAGGUCUGGUGUAUAUGAAGUGGUGCGAUGUACAAUCAGGGUGAGGACCCACUGGGCACACCACAUCAUUUCAACAUGGACAUUUGGGUAUUAUUUGGUUGAGACGUUGACCAUUGAGAUUUCAACCUUUAUUCAGCCACUCAAAAAGACAGCCAGAUGUUUGUUGAAUUCCCAAUGUGUUAUCACUAUGCUUUCAACCAUUUAAAAGUACAAAGUUGAAAUGGGAAUACAAUGUCAGAUCUUUUUUAUUUAUACAACAACUUCAUGUGUUAUCACUGUGCUUAAUCUAAUUGCACAACCAAAUGACCUGGAUUGCAGUUGAGAUUACAUUAAAAGUACAUAGUGCAAGUGAUCAAUGCUGUUUGAGAUUCUGCACAGAUUAUUAUAGCAAUUGUGAAGAUCUCCACAGACCUGCGACCUUUGCAUGCCGUCUUGAACAUGCAUGCUUUCUAUGAUUACAUAAGACAUUUAUAGUUACAGUAGGCUAACCUCAAAAUGUGGCAAUGCAUGUGUUACUCAUUUUAAAGUUGAAUAAAUACUGGUACAUCAGUUUGUAAGAGCCUUAACUUUAGGCUAUUGACUGUAUUAAAAAAGUAUUAUUGAAUUGUGUUUGGUUGACAACGCAGCCAAAUAUCAACAUUUAAAAGGAUAUCUAAUUCUUGUAUACAUUCAUCUGAGCAACUGGCAUAAUCCUAUUCUUAAACGUUUAGUUUUGGUUGAGUUGGAGACGUGAACCCAACUUAUUUGUUAACUUGUCGACAAGUUAAUAGGCUAUUUGUGUUUGGUUGUCAACGCAACCGAAUAUCAACAUUUGAAGGAGAUGUAUCUUUGUGCCAAUGACCCAGUCUGGCUUUAUUCCCAGUUUGUCUACAAAUGAAUGAUAAGUUGGAUUCACGUCUCCAUAUCAACCAAGAAUCAAAGUU
Molecule: long non-coding RNA, 3152 nt
Filed under: Salmo salar (Atlantic salmon)
Lineage: Eukaryota; Metazoa; Chordata; Actinopteri; Salmoniformes; Salmonidae
Description: lncRNA (ENSSSAG00000089721.1)
Source: RNAcentral